UCAAACUGGAGGAAAGGUGGGGAUGACGUCAAGUCAUCAUGCCCCUUAUGACCUGGGCUACACACGUGCUACAAUGGGCAGUACAACGAGAAGCGAACCCGCGAGGGUAAGCGGAUCUCUUAAAGCUGUUCUCAGUUCGGACUGCAGGCUGCAACUCGCCUGCACGAAGCUGGAAUCGCUAGUAAUCGCGGAUCAGCACGCCGCGGUGAAUACGUUCCCGGGCCUUGUACACACCGCCCGUCACACCAUGGAAGUCUGCAAUGCCCAAAGUCGGUGGGAUAACCUUUAUAGGAGUCAGCCGCCUAAGGCAGGGCAGAUGACUGGGGUGAAGUCGAAGCAAUAAUGCAC
Molecule: ribosomal RNA, 348 nt
Filed under: Lactobacillus delbrueckii subsp. bulgaricus
Lineage: Bacteria; Bacillati; Bacillota; Bacilli; Lactobacillales; Lactobacillaceae
Description: bacterial SSU rRNA
Rfam family: Bacterial small subunit ribosomal RNA
Source: RNAcentral